CUUUAACGGCUUUGCAUCCAGCUUAAAUGCCAAAGGGCUGAACUAUGGUAAUUUGAUAUGCGGAAUAUGCUGACGGCGGCCAAUCACUCGUACAGUUGUGCCAUCGAUGCUCUGAGAUGCAAAUGUAACAGAAUUCUGUUACUAACAGCUCGGGCGACCCAAUUAGGUGUUACAUCUUGCCACUUCCCACGACAUUUUCUUACAAUUUACCCAUAACAAAUUGCCUCUUGGCAUAAUGAGAGCUGCCUCUCAAACACGCCCGCAAAUGGGGCAUUCUCAUU
This 281-nucleotide long non-coding RNA is filed under the name Drosophila guanche. Lineage: Eukaryota; Metazoa; Arthropoda; Insecta; Diptera; Drosophilidae. The record is from RNAcentral.